Molecule: ribosomal RNA, 499 nt
Filed under: uncultured bacterium
Lineage: Bacteria
Description: partial 16S ribosomal RNA
Rfam family: Bacterial small subunit ribosomal RNA
Source: RNAcentral
AUUGAACGCUGGCGGCAUGCCUUACACAUGCAAGUCGAACGGUAACAGGUCUUCGGAUGCUGACGAGUGGCGAACGGGUGAGUAAUACAUCGGAACGUGCCUAGUAGUGGGGGAUAACUACUUGAAAGAGUGGCUAAUACCGCAUGAGAUCUACGGAUGAAAGCAGGGGAUCGCAAGACCUUGUGCUACUAGAGCGGCCGAUGGCAGAUGUAGGUAGUUGGUGGGAUAAAAGCUUACCAAGCCGACGAUCUGUAGCUGGUCUGAGAGGACGAUCAGCCACACUGGGACUGAGACACGGCCCAGACUCCGACGGGAGGCAGCAGUGGGGAAUUUUGGACAAUGGGCGCAAGCCUGAUCCAGCCAUUCCGCGUGCAGGAUGAAGGCCUUCGGGUUGUAAACUGCUUUUGUACGGAACGAAACGGUUCUCUCUAAUACAGGGGGCUAAUGACGGUACCGUAAGAAUAAGCACCGGCUAACUACGUGCCAGCAGCCGCCGUAA